This 403-nucleotide ribosomal RNA is filed under the name Acanthamoeba genotype T4. Its description in RNAcentral is "SSU rRNA". It matches the Rfam family "Eukaryotic small subunit ribosomal RNA", at positions 784 to 1084 of the family's 1831-position model. The record is from RNAcentral. Lineage: Eukaryota; Discosea; Longamoebia; Acanthamoebidae.
AUUUUCUGCCACCGAAUACAUUAGCAUGGGAUAAUGGAAUAGGACCCUGUCCUCCUAUUUUCAGUUGGUUUUGGCAGCGCGAGGACUAGGGUAAUGAUUAAUAGGGAUAGUUGGGGGCAUUAAUAUUUAAUUGUCAGAGGUGAAAUUCUUGGAUUUAUGAAAGAUUAACUUCUGCGAAAGCAUCUGCCAAGGAUGUUUUCAUUAAUCAAGAACGAAAGUUAGGGGAUCGAAGACGAUCAGAUACCGUCGUAGUCUUAACCAUAAACGAUGCCGACCAGCGAUUAGGAGACGUUGAAUACAAAACACCACCAUCGGCGCGGUCGUCCUUGGCGUCUGUCCCUUUCAACGGGGGCAGGCGCGAGGGCGGUUUAGCCCGGUGGCACCGGUGAAUGACUCCCCUAGC